GAUAUUGAAUGUUGUGCUGUACGACAGGGCAACGACGCGCCGUUUAAUUGAUAUUUAUCGUUAAAUUUGUACUUUUUCUGCGCAAGCGACAAGCCAGUGUGUACCAAUAAGCAAACAAAUCUUGUUUUUAUUAUCGGUUAAAGUGGUUGUGUUGUUAUCGUUUCUUGGUCGCACAAAAUAAUAAGGAAUAAUACAUAAAUAGACGAGGGAAUUUAGCAACCGUUAUCGACGGCUGCGCUGCCAAGCGAGCUCAUAAAGUCUUUAAGUGGCAAAUUACAAGAAAUACAAAUGAAUGUUUAAACAAAAAUACGUUUUUGUAAUAUUAGUUACAACAAAAUUGCAGCUGUGCAAAAAUACAACAAAGCGUAAUUAGAGAGUUAAAAGCAAAAAUUAAUUAAAGCAUGAAAGCGAAGGCAAACGUUUCGCUAAAAACUUAAAUAAACUAAUGAAGUAAAGCUUCAUCACUCGCCGGCGAGCUGAUUGCCAUAUUUUGCACAUUUGGAGCAUAUUCUAUGUAAAUUUUUCUGGGCCGUGCUGGCAGUAAAAAAAAAAACAAGAUAAACAAACUAACUGUAUAAAAACAAAAUAAAAGCAGCUCAUGCCCCAAUCUCAGCAACUACAGCGACUUGAGUGUGAAUAUUAUAGCUGCUUGCAAUUAACUCGGUUCUCCUAAAUCAUUUGGAUGCAAAAGGCCUGUGCCAAUGACGUGUAAUAU
Long non-coding RNA from Rhagoletis zephyria (snowberry fruit fly), 715 nucleotides. RefSeq lists it as uncharacterized. The record is from RefSeq and is a predicted model, not a curated record. NCBI's taxonomy places the organism in Eukaryota, Metazoa, Arthropoda, Insecta, Diptera, Tephritidae.